CCCUUAGAUGUUCUGGGCUGCACGCGCGCUACACUGAAGCGUUCAACGAGUAUUUCACCUUGCCCGGGAGGGUUGGGUAAUCUUUUUAAAACGCUUCGUGAUGGGGAUAGAUUAUUGCAAUUAUUAAUCUUCAACGAGGAAUUCCUAGUAAGCGCGAGUCAUCAGCUUGCAUUGAUUACGUCCCUGCCCUUUGUACACACCGCCCGUCGCACCUACCGAUUGAAUGGUCCGGUGAAAUCUCGGGACGGCGGCUUGGUCGCUUGCGUCCGACUGCUGAAACUUGAUUAAACCAUAUCAUUUAGAGGAAGGUGAAGUCGUAACA
Molecule: ribosomal RNA, 322 nt
Filed under: uncultured eukaryote
Lineage: Eukaryota
Description: partial 18S ribosomal RNA
Rfam family: Eukaryotic small subunit ribosomal RNA
Source: RNAcentral